This 75-nucleotide transfer RNA is filed under the name Pseudomonadota bacterium. RNAcentral describes it as "tRNA-Arg". It matches the Rfam family "tRNA". Rfam says of the family: Transfer RNA (tRNA) molecules are approximately 80 nucleotides in length. Their secondary structure includes four short double-helical elements and three loops (D, anti-codon, and T loops). RNAcentral also lists the same sequence under 4 other names. Lineage: Bacteria; Pseudomonadati; Pseudomonadota. The record is from RNAcentral.
GCCCCCGUAGCUCAGCGGAUAGAGUGUCGGCCUCCGGAGCCGAAGGCCCAGGUUCGAGUCCUGGCGGGGGUACCA